AUGGCUUUUCUAUUACCAAUAAUGGCCACAUUCGGUGCAGUUGGAGAAGCCACUUGUUUAUUGCUUUGUGGUACAUUUUUCUCUUGUUCAAGCUCAAGCGUGCUAUUUGUUUGUGUUUAUGCCAUUCCUGCUUUGUUAGAACAUAUUUUACAUUUCUCAUUCCAUCUCAAAACUGCAGGAUGGAAGUGGAACAUGGAGUACUAUUAUUGGAAUUUCUACAGUGGCCAGGGAUUGGAAAAAAAAAUUAUUUUCCACUCCUAUUUAUCAGUUAUGGAUGACCCCGUCUUCGGACACUUCCUGGUUGAAAGGCAUAUGAGAUAUGGUUUGCUUCUUGUUUGUGUUUGGUAG
RNAcentral lists this ribosomal RNA (348 nucleotides) under Triticum aestivum (bread wheat). Its description in RNAcentral is "partial small subunit ribosomal RNA". The record is from RNAcentral. Lineage: Eukaryota; Viridiplantae; Streptophyta; Magnoliopsida; Poales; Poaceae.